GAUGAACGCUGGCGGCGUGCCUAAUACAUGCAAGUCGAGCGAACAGACGAGGAGCUUGCUCCUCUGACGUUAGCGGCUGACGGGUGAGUAACACGUGGAUAACCUACCUAUAAGACUGGGAUAACUUCGUGAAACCGGAGCUAAUACCGGAUAAUAUAUUGAACCGCAUGGUUCAAUAGUGAAAGACGGUUUUGCUGUCACUUAUAGAUGGAUCCGCGCCGCAUUAGCUAGUUGGUAAGGUAACGGCUUACCAAGGCGACGAUGCGUAGCCGACCUGAGAGGGUGAUCGGCCACACUGGAACUGAGACACGGUCCAGACUCCUACGGGAGGCAGCAGUAGGGAAUAUUCCGCAAUGGGCGAAAGCCUGACGGAGCAACGCCGCGUGAGUGAUGAAGGUCUUCGGAUCGUAAAACUCUGUUAUUAGGGAAGAAAAAAAGUGUAAGUAACUAUGGACGUUUUGACGGUACCUAAUCAGAAAGCCACGGCUAACUACGUG
This 497-nucleotide ribosomal RNA is filed under the name uncultured bacterium. Its description in RNAcentral is "partial 16S ribosomal RNA". It matches the Rfam family "Bacterial small subunit ribosomal RNA", at positions 28 to 507 of the family's 1533-position model. The record is from RNAcentral.